This 484-nucleotide ribosomal RNA is filed under the name uncultured bacterium. RNAcentral describes it as "partial 16S ribosomal RNA". It matches the Rfam family "Bacterial small subunit ribosomal RNA", at positions 30 to 507 of the family's 1533-position model. The record is from RNAcentral.
AUUGAACGCUGGCGGCAGGCCUAACACAUGCAAGUCGAGCGGAUGAAGGGAGCUUGCUCCUGGAUUCAGCGGCGGACGGGUGAGUAAUGCCUAGGAAUCUGCCUGGUAGUGGGGGAUAACGUCCGGAAACGGGCGCUAAUACCGCAUACGUCCUGAGGGAGAAAGUGGGGGAUCUUCGGACCUCACGCUAUCAGAUGAGCCUAGGUCGGAUUAGCUAGUUGGUGGGGUAAAGGCCUACCAAGGCGACGAUCCGUAACUGGUCUGAGGGGAUGAUCAGUCACACUGGCAGUGAGACACGGUACCGACUCCUACGGGAGGAAGCAGUGGGGAAUAUUGGACAAUGGGGGAAAGCCUGAUCCAGCAAUGCCGCGUGUGUGAAGAAGGUCUUCGGAUUGUAAAGCAAUUUAAGUUGGGAGGAAGGGCAGUAAGUUAAUACCUUGCUGUUUUGACGUUACCAACAGAAUAAGCACCGGCUAACUUCGUG